This 651-nucleotide ribosomal RNA is filed under the name uncultured archaeon. RNAcentral describes it as "bacterial SSU rRNA". It matches the Rfam family "Archaeal small subunit ribosomal RNA", at positions 34 to 692 of the family's 1478-position model. The record is from RNAcentral.
CGGAUUGAUACUAAGCCAUGCGAGUUUUUGUAGCAAUACAAGGCAUACGGCUCAGUAACACGUAGUCAAUCUAACCUAUGGACNNNGAUAACCUCGGGAAACUGAGAAUAAUACUCGAUAGAUCAUUAUGCCUGNAACGGUUUAUGGUUAAAAUGAAUUUCGCCAUAGGAUGGGACUGCGGUCUAUCAGCUNGUUGGUGAUGUAAUGGACCACCAAGGCUAUAACAGAUACGGGCUCUGAGAGGAGAAGCCCGGAGAUGGGUACUGAAACACGGACCCAGGCCCUAUGGGGCGCAGCAGGCGAGAAAACUUUGCAAUGUGCGAAAGCACGACAAGGUUAAUCCGAGUGAUUCCUGCUAAAGGAAUCUUUUGUUAGUCGUAAAACCACUAAUGAAUAAGGGGUGGGCAAGUUCUGGUGUCAGCCGCCGCGGUAAAACCAGCACCUCAAGUGGUCAGGAUGAUUAUUGGGCCUAAAGCAUCCGUAGCCGGCUCUGUUAGUUUUCGGUUAAAUCCAUAUGCUCAACAUAUGGGCCGCCGGGAAUACUACAAAGCUAGGGAGUGGGAGAGGUAGACGGUACUCCGUAGGAAGGGGUAAAAUCCUUUGAUCUAUGGAUGACCACCUGUGGCGAAGGCGGUCUACCAGAACACGUCC